Molecule: long non-coding RNA, 2115 nt
Organism: Bombus impatiens (common eastern bumble bee)
Lineage: Eukaryota; Metazoa; Arthropoda; Insecta; Hymenoptera; Apidae
Exons: 2
Source: RefSeq, a predicted model, not a curated record
AAAUUGCAAAAAGAAAUGAAAACGUCGUUUUAGAGUUAGAUGAACGUGAUAGCACUAUUUUAGAAUAUCGAUUGUUAUAAAUCUGAAUAUUCCUGAACGUACUACUUUUAUAUCUGUCGUGCCUAGAUGCCUGUGGAACGCAUUCGCAAGAAUCGCCUCUGCCAGAGGCCUAUAAUUAAGAAUCGUUAAAACAAAAGAAAAUAAAAAAAAAAAAUGAAAUAAUAAGCAACGAGUUAUACGCGACGUUACCAAAAUGGUGUGGUGAUUGCAUCACGAGUUUUUUCAAGAACGCUUACACAAAACGUUGCGUCGUUGCUCCGUCAGUUUCGCGGUUAACAAAAUAAAGAGAGAAGUAAAACGUUAUAUAGUAGUUUGUCGCUGGCAAGAGAAGCAAAGGAAACGAAAAAGAAAUGCGAAGAAUAGAAGCAAAUUUAGGAGUCGAGGAAAAAAUAACGAGGAUGGCCAUUGAGCAGUGGUCCAGCUACGUCCUCAGCAUCUUUACUAAAGGCUUUUUGGCUAAUUCCUCGUGUUACUCUUGUUUAUUGGAUAUAGAGAUUCCGAUACCGUGAAAAUAGUGAAGUUUAAAAAGAAAAAAAGAAUUACGAUCUAAGCGAAAUAUCUUUAGUCUUUGCGCUGCUGGCAGGCUGUUAUGUUUAAACAUUGUAAGGAAUGAACUUGUUGAGAAUAGAAAUACGGUUAGCACUUAUUAUUAAAUAACGAAAAUUAAAACCAAAUGAGAUAAAUAUAAAAAAAGAAAAAUUAUUUACUAUUUAAUCGCCCCUUCAGGAGGAGAAUGGCUGUUUUUGUUACGGAAAACCAUUAAACGAUAAGUAUUCUUGUCGAUACUUUUUAUUAUCAAGUGCAGUGUAAUCUCGAUAAAUCUCAUUGAAAACACACUGUAUCUUGUGCAACAAGUAUUUAAUAAUAAAAGUAUUUUUAGUAAAACUAUUUUAUUUGAAUAGGUUUGCAUUUUCAAUGGUACUCCUUUCAAUGAACAAUAAGUAACUAAAUUGCAUUCGAUCCAUGUAAUAUUCGAUGAUAUCGUUUCUGUUCAUUUCUAUUUUAUUUUCUCUCUUUGUUAGCUUCCGACAGCGAAAUCGCUAAUGUGGAUUAUCGGGAUUACAUUGUAUUUCUCAAUCGUUGAAAUCAAUCGCGAUGAAGAAUAAAUACAUAAUACUGUUCGAUAGAAGCGUCCCUCCGGUAAUGCAUGUUUCGAGGUUUCGUCUCUUACUGCGUCUAUUCUUUCACUUGUAUCAUCUAUGAUACGUCUUUGAAGUUUACGAAUUUUAUAGUAGAAUCAGAAGACCACUCGAAUUUUUCGUGCUUAAAUAUUCAAGAAGACUGUUACUGGCUCAUCGUUGAUCGAGUAUUAUCGAAUUUUCCUGACUUCCGUUCCCGCAAAUUGUGCCAGGAUUAAAUAAUAUAAAACAGAAACGAGAGAGAGAGAGAGAGAGAGAGCAUAAAGAAGAAAAAAAGAGAAUGAGAGAGAGAGAGAGAGAGAGAGAAAAUGAAAUUUGAUUUCAUUCGAUGUAGAUCGUUCUCUUGUAACUCCUGUAUGGGUUACCUCGAGUGAGUUUAAAGGUUCAUUUUCAGCAAUGUUUUAUACGUUUUUUAUGAUAUGAAAGUCAGCCAAUAAUCGUGUAUUUUGUAGAUAGAAAGAAAAACAACCUAUUAUGCGAAAGAAUGAUUUUAAAUGUUUUAUGUAAGGAGGAGCAAGGAUUUUCUGAAUUUAGAAAAUGAGCAAUCACGCUAUCGUAGGCAGCUUUCGAAUUUUGUAGAAACGUCUCUGUUCUUCCUUACGUAAAGUUCUACGAAAUAUUCGGGAGAACUAUUAUUCGAUGGAGAAUGAAAGCGAAAAAAAAAAAAAAAAAAGAAAGGAAGGGAAGAAAGGAAUGUUUAUAAAAUAUAAAGAGACCCAUAUGUACAGUGACUCGCUUCAAAACUAAAGGUACGAAUUUAUGAUGGAACGCGUACAGGACUGUGUAUCAAUGUUCGAUUAACAAAAUUUUUUUAAUGAUCGCCUGUCCGAUCGAUUCGUUUCCAUGCAUGCAUAUAUUCCUUUACAAUUUGUUGGAAGCAUAAUUUUAUAAUAAAUAAAUCAUUAUAAUGAAACGG